GACGAACGCUGGCGGCGUGCUUAACACAUGCAAGUCGAACGGUGAAGCGCCUUCCUUUUUGGUGGGUGUGGAUGAGUGGCGAACGGGUGAGUAACACGUGAGUAACCUGCCCCCUUCUUCUGGAUAACCGCAUGAAAGUGUGGCUAAUACGGGAUAUUCUGGGUCUGUCGCAUGAUGGGUCUGGGAAAGAUAUUGUUUCGGUGGGGGAUGGGCUCGCGGCCUAUCAGCUUGUUGGUGGGGUGAUGGCCUACCAAGGCGGUGACGGGUAGCCGGCCUGAGAGGGUGGACGGUCACACUGGGACUGAGACACGGCCCAGACUCCUACGGGAGGCAGCAGUGGGGAAUACUGCACAAUGGGCGCAAGCCUGAUGCAGCGACGCCGCGUGAGGGAUGGAGGCCUUCGGGUUGUGAACCUCUUUCGCCAGUGAAGCAGGCCUGCCUCGUUUGUGGGUGGGUUGACGGUAGCUGGAGAAGAAGCGCCGGCUAACUACGUG
Molecule: ribosomal RNA, 494 nt
Filed under: uncultured bacterium
Lineage: Bacteria
Description: partial 16S ribosomal RNA
Rfam family: Bacterial small subunit ribosomal RNA
Source: RNAcentral